UGAUUAUUAGAAACAAAACAGUAUGCAGC
This 29-nucleotide small RNA is filed under the name Bombyx mori (domestic silkworm). RNAcentral's name for it is "ovarian small RNA-33028". Lineage: Eukaryota; Metazoa; Arthropoda; Insecta; Lepidoptera; Bombycidae. The record is from RNAcentral.